RNAcentral lists this ribosomal RNA (527 nucleotides) under uncultured bacterium. RNAcentral's name for it is "bacterial SSU rRNA". It matches the Rfam family "Bacterial small subunit ribosomal RNA", at positions 777 to 1310 of the family's 1533-position model. The record is from RNAcentral.
AAUAGAUACCCUGGUAGUCCACGCCCUAAACGAUGUCAACUAGNUUGUUGGGAUUCAUUUCCUUAGUAACGUAGCUAACGCGUGAAGUUGACCGCCUGGGGAGUACGGUCGCAAGAUUAAAACUCAAAGGAAUUGACGGGGACCCGCACAAGCGGUGGAUGAUGUGGAUUAAUUCGAUGCAACGCGAAAAACCUUACCUACCCUUGACAUGGUCGGAACCCUGCUGAAAGGUGGGGUGCUCGAAAGAGAACCGGCGCACAGGUGCUGCAUGGCUGUCGUCAGCUCGUGUCGUGAGAUGUUGGGUUAAGUCCCGCAACGAGCGCAACCCUUGUCCUUAGUUGCUACGCAAGAGCACUCUAAGGAGACUGCCGGUGACAAACCGGAGGAAGUGGGGAUGACGUCAAGUCCUCAUGGCCCUUAUGGGUAGGGCUUCACACGUCAUACAAUGGUCGGAACAGAGGGUUGCCAAGCCGCGAGGUGGAGCCAAUCCCGAGAAAACCGAUCGUAGUCCGGAUCGCAGUCUGCAA